Molecule: small nuclear RNA, 173 nt
Filed under: Sus scrofa (pig)
Lineage: Eukaryota; Metazoa; Chordata; Mammalia; Artiodactyla; Suidae
Also listed under: 1 other name
Description: U2 spliceosomal RNA (multiple genes)
Rfam family: U2 spliceosomal RNA
About the family: U2 is a small nuclear RNA (snRNA) component of the spliceosome (involved in pre-mRNA splicing). Complementary binding between U2 snRNA (in an area lying towards the 5' end but 3' to hairpin I) and the branchpoint sequence (BPS) of the intron results the bulging out of an unpaired adenosine, on the BPS, which initiates a nucleophilic attack at the intronic 5' splice site, thus starting the first of two transesterification reactions that mediate splicing.
Source: RNAcentral
AUCGCUUCUCAGCCUUUUGGCUAAGAUCAAGUGUAGUAUCUGUUCUUAUCAGUAUAAUAACUGAUACAUCCUCUAUCCAAGGACAAUAUCUUAAUUUUAAUAUAGUAAUGAAGUGUUUGAACUUACAGGACCAUCAGGCUAAAACACAUAAUUAUGGGAAGGGGUUAGCAUAC